This is a long non-coding RNA of Mesocricetus auratus (golden hamster), 1295 nucleotides long. RefSeq lists it as uncharacterized. Lineage: Eukaryota; Metazoa; Chordata; Mammalia; Rodentia; Cricetidae. The record is from RefSeq and is a predicted model, not a curated record. The transcript is spliced from 5 exons.
CCAGCUGUUUACCAGCCAGCAAGUGCAGGCUUUUCUGCAGAGCCACCCAGUGGCUACUAGUGACAUCAGUGGUGGCAUUUAGGAGCUUCCUGCCUGCCCAACUCCGGGAGAGCAGUGGUGGGUAUCUUGGAGCCCCAGCUUUCAGGACCCUGGAGUGACGUUUCCAGCUGUCUACCCGCUGCGUCUAGAAUUGCAGGUCUUCAGAAAGCUGAAGCAGGAGGAUCAGAAGCUGGAGGUCAGCCUGUGCUGUAGAGACUGGAAACAUGGUAGCAGAAUCCAGAGCUUACUAGAGCCGGAGCAGGAGGAGAGGAAGACAAAGACAGCCAGCAUUCUGUUCUUGUCCACUGGAAGCCAGCCAGUAAGGGUGUCCUUUGAGAAAACGAAGGACACGUCCUCUCCUCAGGAAUGACUGAGUAAGAACAAGGGGUUUCUCGGGAUGCAUAACUCUGAACAGGGUCGUGGCAGAACUGACCCACACUUGUCCAGCUGUCCCUAGGCCGAGCCACAGUGAUGUCACCAGCCUCUGUGGCAAAUGAAGAUGACAAUCACAGUCCUGAGUCCUGGCAGGCUGGAGGCCUGAUGGAUCUACAGAAAAUGUUCCUACUUCCAUCUGAGCCAAAAGCACACCUCAAGCUCAACUUUAAAAUUGUGACAAACCUGGCCCAUGAGCCCAAACAAGCGCCAAGGAUGGCUGGCUCAGCAUCUGUCACCUCUGCAGUUGAGGCCUGAGCCUUCUGCCUGGAAAACUAAAGCCAAUUAAAACCAUGUGUGGUGGCAUACCCCUGUACUCCCAGCACUGUGGAGACAGGCAGGAGGAUUAGUAGUUAGAGACUAGCCUGAGCUACAUAACAAACCUAAGUUUGAGAAAGAAAGAGCAGGGCUGGGGGUGUGGUUUAGUGGCCAAGUGCUUGCCUGUCCGGAUGUGUUAAGGCCCUGGGUUUGUUCCCCAGCACCACAAAAUAAACAAACGAAUGAGGACCAAGAACCCCCCUUCCAUCUCCUUCUUCGUGACACAUGUUUAUCUUAGGGAGGAAAGUCUAAAGGCCAAGCACAUUUUCUGAGGCACUGGGUCCCCGUUCCCUCCCAGUCAGGCUCCUCUGUUAAUCUGGAGCACUCUUACCCUAACCUCCUGACCUCCUGUACCCUAACUGCCCCCUGGGAGCUUGGAGGAGACAGACUGAGGACACAGAGGCUGUCUGAGAGCCUAAGGAGUAGGGUGUGGCACCCUACCUGACCUGAGAGUAACAUCUCCCCGUCAGGGCUCCAGUUCUGACACCCAAAGCUAAAGAUCUCAU